CCUACGGGUGGCAGCAGUGAGGAAUAUUGGUCAAUGGACGCAAGUCUGAACCAGCCAUGCCGCGUGCAGGAAGACGGCUCUAUGAGUUGUAAACUGCUUUUGUACGAGGGUAAACGCAGAUACGCGUAUCUGUCUGAAAGUACCGUACGAAUAAGGAUAGGCUAACUCCGUGCCAGCAGCCGCGGUAAUACGGAGGAUUCAAGCGUUAUGCGGAUUUAUUGGGUUUACAGGGUGCGUAGGCGGUCGGCUAAGUUAGAGGUGAACUCCCGAGGCUCAACUUCGGAAUUGCCUCUGUUACUGUUCGGCUAGAGGGUAGUUGCGGUAGGCGGAAUGUCUUGUGUAGCGGU
This 347-nucleotide ribosomal RNA is filed under the name uncultured bacterium. RNAcentral describes it as "partial 16S ribosomal RNA". It matches the Rfam family "Bacterial small subunit ribosomal RNA", at positions 338 to 682 of the family's 1533-position model. The record is from RNAcentral.